Molecule: ribosomal RNA, 255 nt
Filed under: uncultured bacterium
Lineage: Bacteria
Description: partial 16S ribosomal RNA
Rfam family: Bacterial small subunit ribosomal RNA
Source: RNAcentral
GCAAGUCGAGCGAGAAAGGACUUCGGUCCCGGUAAAGCGGCGCACGGGUGAGUAACACGUAGGUUAUCUACCCCCGAGUGGUGGACAACUCCCCGAAAGGGGAGCUAAUACAGCAUAAGACCACUUUUAUUAGUGGCCAAAGCGAGCCUCUCCAUUGGAAGCCCGCGCUUGGGGAUGAGCCUGCGGCCCAUCAGCUAGUUGGUAAGGUAAAGGCUUACCAAGGCUAAGACGGGUAGCUGGUCUGAGAGGAUGGAC